Molecule: transfer RNA, 88 nt
Filed under: Candidatus Liptonbacteria bacterium RIFCSPHIGHO2_01_FULL_56_18b
Lineage: Bacteria; Candidatus Liptoniibacteriota
Also listed under: 1 other name
Description: tRNA-Ser
Rfam family: tRNA
About the family: Transfer RNA (tRNA) molecules are approximately 80 nucleotides in length. Their secondary structure includes four short double-helical elements and three loops (D, anti-codon, and T loops). Further hydrogen bonds mediate the characteristic L-shaped molecular structure. tRNAs have two regions of fundamental functional importance: the anti-codon, which is responsible for specific mRNA codon recognition, and the 3' end, to which the tRNAs corresponding amino acid is attached (by aminoacyl-tRNA synthetases). tRNAs cope with the degeneracy of the genetic code in two manners: having more than one tRNA (with a specific anti-codon) for a particular amino acid; and 'wobble' base-pairing, i.e. permitting non-standard base-pairing at the 3rd anti-codon position.
Source: RNAcentral
GGUAGGGUGGCCGAGCGGCUGAAGGCGGCGGUCUUGAAAACCGCUAUCCCGCUUAGCGGGAUCGUGAGUUCGAAUCUCACCCCUACCG